GCCAAGGCUAGAGUGCUUGGCGCCAUGGGCGCUGGCAAGUGUCCAGCGCUCUCAUACCCAUGUUGCUCAAUGGAGGAUAUGGCUAUGAGAA
Molecule: small RNA, 91 nt
Filed under: Methylobacterium nodulans ORS 2060
Lineage: Bacteria; Pseudomonadati; Pseudomonadota; Alphaproteobacteria; Hyphomicrobiales; Methylobacteriaceae
Description: Repression of heat shock gene expression (ROSE) element
Rfam family: Repression of heat shock gene expression (ROSE) element
About the family: This family represents a 5' UTR cis-regulatory element found in heat shock mRNAs and is known as the ROSE (repression of heat shock gene expression) element. The ROSE element is a negative regulator of heat shock gene expression.
Source: Rfam by way of RNAcentral